GCUCUAAAGCUUGGACUGAGCAGUCAAGGGACAGCAUCUCUGCUGGCAGAUGUUAAAAACCCAUUUGAUCCUUUUUGUGCUGGCUGGUUUAUGACUUUCUUGCUUGCAGACUUACGGGAAAAAAACUGCCCUGACAAAGGGAACUCCCAGUGGCCACAUCCAGGUAUUAGGAGAAAAGUAAGGUCCGGUCUAAGCCUUUGCAUCCUGAAGCUGCAAAUUCCCUUGGACUAGCAGAGUGUCUUCUGUUGGGUCAGCCAGUUUUGGCUACUCAUGUGAGCACAAGUCAGGAGAGUUUAUUUGGGAUGAGUCACAUCUUUCCAAACUGCGUUAUGAAAAUCUCACCUCAAAAUUAGGAAUGAACAUGCAAUGAAGUAUGAGGAACUAUUGGGCUCUGUCUUUCUCCUUUAGUCCUUCAAAACAACGUGAAGGCCAGUUUUCUGAAUGACUGGGGUAGUAAUGGAGCACUGUUCUUAUUUGAAUAGCAGCCUAUGGGGAUCCCAGCUCUGUGCAGUUCUGGAAUAUGAAUUGUUAGAACGGAUCUGGCCUGAGAAUCCCUCAAGUCCAGUCUCCUGUCUUUGAUGCUGGCCAGCAUCUUAUGCUUCAGUGGGUGAUACAGUUCAGUAAGUGAUUUUAAAAGUAUACCCAGGCAGCAGCAUAAUCCUGCGCAGAGGCUCCUCUGUUGUGUGUGUGCUGCCUAGCUUAAGAUGGAUUUAUGGCAGUAGGGUAUAAAAGUUUGCCUUAAGUCCUGUGUGAUAGCACGUUGCACAGAAUACUCUAUGCUAUUUCUUAAUCCUGGUUUUGUAUCCAAUUUGUGGGUUUCAGCCUUCAAUUUCAUCAUGUGUCCCUUUGCCCUUUUGUUACUAGAGAAAGCAAACAGCCUUCAGAAGCCAUAGUGAUUGGUUAUAUGCAGUGUUCUUCUGUCUCUGCAUGCAUAUAUAUGCAUGUGUGCAUGUAUGUGUGUGUUAGCACACAGAGGUCUUUUCUCCACUGCUUCUGUCACAUGUUUCUAUGCUGAGCUUUAGUCUAAAACCAGUCCUUUAAACAUACUUUAAGGGAAAAAGAUAACAUCAUUAUAGUAAAUAGAAGCCAAGGUGUUGCUGCCUUCUAACUAUGAGGUUCUUGUAAGAGAGAAUUUAACCUCGCUGACCUGAGUGUUCCUUCUUUCCCAUGCCUAGGACAAAAUGGUUUUGUGGGUAAUAGGAGAGGAUUCUGAUGCAGAACGAGCAGAAGAUGUGAAAUUCUGACUUCCUAAUGAUUCCAGCAGGGAGUUAGGGGUGUAAAGAUAGUACUCAUUAUAUCGUGGCUUUUCUGCUUGGGGUAAGGCUUCCCACUGAGCCUUUUCUUCACACCCAAGGGUUUCACGGUUUCUUUCCUAUCUCGUCCUAUAAUUGCCUCCAGACUGCUCCUGUAGGGGCUGUGGAGCUGGGACAGAUAUUAGCAGCAUGAGGAAAUGUCAGCUUUUAAGUGAAGGAGCUAUUUUGCACUUCCGUGGCGCUGAGCAGUACACUGCUAAAGCUGCAUAUCUUUAUGGGUUUGGGGUGUUCCUUAAGCCAGGACUUGCAGCGGGUGGACAGAAGCAUUGUAGUGGGACCUUAGAAAGCCUGGGGAGAGGCAGUGAGCUCUGUGUCACUGGCAGGAUUUAAAGCAGCACCUGCAGCAGCUCAGGAGAGUGCUGGAAAAUAUGCUUCAUUCUUAUAUAGCCAUCAAAUGCUGCUGUAGUUUGAGGCACAAUCAGUGGAAUUACAGAAACGUGCAUGUAGCUGGGGAGAAUGAGGUAAUAACAGUUAUGGAAAAAACCCACUUGCUGAUAAUGCUCUGCAAGUACAGCAUGGAAAGGGAUUUACUUCCCAUUGUAGCUCAGCUGAUUUCUGCUGGUGCAGAGCAAUGCUGUUGCAGUAGUCAGAGGCAGCCGGAAGCUCCAGGUGAAUUAGUCAGGCUUGCUUCACUUCUUUGAACCAAGAGAUGCAUUUCAGACAGGGUUUUAAAAUGAGGUGAGUGCUCAGUUUUAACAGAACUAGGCAUUUCUGGGUGUUUUUAGUAACUGGUUUACCCUGUGUGUUUGUCAGCUGUGUGUAAAAGCCUCAGAGAAUGCAUUCAGAGUGGAACACGGAGGUGCUCAGUCACUGUGGUGAUGGGUGGGUUUGUGUCAAUAAGAGCAGCUGCUCAUAACUUUCUGGGAAGAUGGACAGAAGGAUUGUUCUGAAAUUACAGCCUGUGCUAAACGAAACCCUUGGUACCCCAGAGCAUCAUUGCUUGUGUUGUGGUACUGGAGUUGUGCUGAGCCACACAAACUUGAAACACAAAGAUGAUCCUUUCACCCGUUCCUCCCCAUCCUGUUUUCCUUUCCAAGUAAAUGCUUGUAUCCAAAUACUUCCUGUAGCAGGAAGCAGGGCUGUUGCAUAGGUAUAGGGUGGAAGCAAGUUUCAUUCUCUGAAGGAAAAGUCUCAGCUAAUGAAGUCCAUGGUCAGUUAAGGGACAAUAAUCAUUUUCUCAUUCACAACUUGAUCCCUUUCCACUGAAAUGGCAGCCUGAGACUGUAUGGUCUGGUUUAGGUGAUAAUCUGUAAUUAAUGACUGCAUAAUGGCAUUUUUGUUUGUAAUGGUGUAUUUGAGGCUACAAUUCAAGGUCAAACGAUUUCCCUCUUACAAUUAAUUCAGUGUUACAGAGGUACAAAACUAAGUGGGUGUUAUCAGCCAGUCCAGCAUUCCUCAUCAGUUAAAGGAUUGCUCCUACAGCUUUUGCAGCACAUCAUAAAGCCUUUGUUCCCAGCUGAUCAAAGCACCACUUCACAGUGAUCAGAUGCUGUCAACAAGCAGAGAUCCUCAGGGCACUUGUGGCUGUUCCUUCUUGCUUCUCUUCAGCAGGGAGCAUUUGUGGCUCCAAUUGUGUUGGCAAGAGGCACAGCUGGUUUUGCUCAGAGAAUACAAUUACAGUCUAAAUGUCUGGCAACAAAGGCAUUAAAAAGAGCUGCAUUCAGAGGCUCCUGGAAUUGAGGAGCUGAUAGCUAUCCCACCGCUCUGCGCUCUGCUACAGCAGACAGGCUGCAAAUGGAACACCUCAGAGUGUUCCUGAUGAGCUUCCAGCGAUCACACUCCUUUCUGACCUCCAGCCCUGGGACUGUGCUAAGUGGUGCUUUCCCAGUGUCCUUCUCCGCACCGCUGCUGAGGCAGGAGUGCUGGAUAACGCUGCUGCCCUGGUCCUACCACCACAGAAGGAGACACAGAGAAGGCAGUUUUCUCAACAGUGACAAAUAUCCCCUGGUGAAAUGUAUGAGAGGAGCUUCAUUCCAUGGGUAGGUAGCUAUGUAGCUCUGAAAAGCUUCUUGAAAAGGUAGACUAGUGUAGAAAAAGAUCCACUACCUUUACCCAGUGCAGCUGAACUGAAUUAUUUGUUCUGAUCAUCGUUUUCUGUUGGUUUGGGUUUUUCGCCUCCCAGCCCACUGCCAGAGCCAGGUUUUUACUGAAAGAAUUGGAGCAAUCCCCAGCCCUGACUAUCCAACACCUUAUCCCUGCUCGGCUCCUGCAGCUGCAGUAUCCAGGUAGAAGAUGGCUUCCUGCUCACACUGGGAUUCAUGGAGACCUUUAAUGUGGAGACACACCCAGCAGUGUUGUGCUCCUGUGACGUCCUUAAGGUAAGGUGAGGUUUAUUGCAUUGCACCACAGCUGCUGUGAGACAGGCCCAGUCCUUUUACUGCAUCUUCUUCAGCUGGGGUUUCACCACGUUAAUUUACAGCUUCGUCUCCCUGUAUCUCUCCUCAUUCAUUAUUUCUUCUCCUCCCUUCAGUUUUGUUGGGUUUUUUUCCAUUUCUUUCAACACCUUCCACUUCUGGGAAAUUCACCACAACCAAACCCAAGCACUCAUGGGUGUGAUGACUUGAUAGAUUUCAUCACAACUUGUGCCUGUGGCGUGGAUCAGUGGUGCCAGGGGAGUCAUUCUGCAUUCAGUUUGCUUGUCUAUAAAAUGGACCCAGUGGUUGCUUCCCAGGAAUUCUGUAGCAGUUAGGAUGCUUGGAGAAAAGCCCUGCUAUGAGUGACCACAGUGAGGAGCCAUCACUAACCACCUGCCUGGGCUUUUAGACUGUGCAAGAAAGGACCAUUCAAGUUCAGGGAGUCACUGCAUUAAAGUCAGUUUGUGUUUCCAUAAGCCGCAUGGGGAAGGAGUGAAGACUCUUUGUUUGCCUUCUCUUGCUCCUUCCCAGUUAAAACACCCAAAAAGCAUUUUUGUUCAUCCUGUGGGAAGACUUUGCCUGCAAAAAAUGGAGAUCCAGGUGAGUGUUGUGAAUGUUACUUUCAUAACCAAUAAUCUCAGGAGCACACACUGGAUGGAAGCUGAAGUACAGGCAACAGGUGGGAGGGAGACCUCUGCUUAGUUCUCAAGUCCAAACUAUUCCCAGAACUUCAUUCUGGAAAGGCCUGAAUAGCCACCACAUAGUGGUGCUUUGAAAUGCUGGUUUCAUACUUAGUUUUCAGGACUGUACCUGUUAAACAGCGUACCUACUGGGUAGCUCCCUUCUGAAGGGAAGUUUUAAGAGAAUCCAGAAUUCCAGCUGAUCCUACAGUUCAGCUCGGGUCCAGACAUAUGGUUUUGUUUUAAGGAACAGUUUUCUCAGUGUGUCAAGAGUUACAAGGUGUGUUUUGAAGCAACAGAGAGCCUGGCCCCAUGCAGGUCACUGCUCACCUUCAGUGUGAGAGCAUCGCAGUCAGUCCCAGUCCUUCCUUUCACUCUCGGUAGAUGUAGAUCUGUGUCCAUGUGAGUGAGGCGGUGUGGAGAAGGUGCAGAGAAAAGGUGGGUUCUCCCCUCAGAGCCUUUAGCAGUAGGGCACGAAUCGGCUCCUCAGGGGAAUAUCGUGUUUUCUGAUCCUGGCAGGUUUGCCGUGUCCCAGUCCUGAAGCACCACCCCAUGGUCACACCGCACCAGUGCAGCGCGGUACCUUCUGGGUGACAGCUCUGCUUCCUCCUGUGACAUCGGGUAUGUGCUGCUUGAAGUAGGCGACCCAAGGCGCUGCCAGCCCCAUCGGACCGAAUUCCUCAGGGAUUAAACACUUGUGCUGCUUGGAGAAUUAAAAUGUUGUGAAGUCUUCGGUAACGGACUGUCGAAGGAAGGCACCUGGAACAAACCAUGGCACAGUGCAGCAGUAAGUCAGUGCUGUCUGUGAACUUUAAAUGAUUGGUGUAAAUAUUUGUAUUUAAAACAUACAAGUUGUGGUAUGAGAAACAUUUUUUCAGCCUGUUCCAGUACUUGUUCCAAUUCCUGCCAUUCUAAAAUCUCUAAAAGCACUGAUGGUUAUUAAAAGAAAA
Molecule: long non-coding RNA, 5297 nt
Organism: Strigops habroptila (Kakapo)
Lineage: Eukaryota; Metazoa; Chordata; Aves; Psittaciformes; Psittacidae
Source: Ensembl